GCAUCAUAGUGAUUUGGGUUCUCUCCUACCCGAAGUGUAUAUGAUACUCAAGGAUAAAGGAAGCAACUUCUCCAUCUUUGCGUCCAACUUCCUCCUCGUUCCUAGUGAUGGAAGAAGGAACCAAAAGAGACUCCGAAGAGCCCCCAGGAGCAAUGAGCAACAAGGCGUAGGUACCUGCUGAGCUCCUUGAACUCACUGCUUCCUUGACGCCUCUGGAGGUGGUGGUUUCUGGUGACCAGGAUGACAUCCACUGGGAUACCCCACUUGCCCUGGAGCCUGCAGAUGGCAUCCUGGAAAACUUGGCAGAAGCUG
This is a non-coding RNA of Kogia breviceps (pygmy sperm whale), 312 nucleotides long. Lineage: Eukaryota; Metazoa; Chordata; Mammalia; Artiodactyla; Physeteridae. The record is from RefSeq and is a predicted model, not a curated record.